AGCAAAGUUGAAAGUUGAAGUGUAAGUAAUAUCGGACGUCCGACGUUCGCAUUUCGCAUCUAACUCAAUUUAAAAACGUUAAGCAAUUCGUAAUCAGACUUUGAGAGGUGCGGGUCGUGUUUUUGGUGCUGUAACGACGGCUGCUACCACUGUUGCAUCGACUGCGACCACACCUUUAAAUCCGCAGCAAUUACAGUAGCUUUUCGACCCCGACUGUAACUCUCACCACCACGGACAAUUCAUAGGAAAUGUUUGAGUCUAUCGAUACCAUGAACCCAGCUGCCUUGAUCGCUAAUAUUGAUAAUACGAGCGUGUCUGAAAGGAAUACGAUAAUGGAAACAAAUGUCAGUGUCCCCGCGCCAUAUCUUUCCGCCUUAAUCAUUGAUUGCUUAUUCGUCACCGCCAUUGCGAUACUCUACGUCAUGUGGAAGCAUAUUGACUGCUAUUUCGGGGCGGAAGCGAUAGCAGCGGUGCAACGCGACCACCACAUUGACUGCGCAGGGCCAUCUUUAGGCCGCAUCUUCUGCGGUUUGCUGUUCUUGGUGGCAUCAAUCAGCUGCUUGAUUUAUUUGCCGGAUGUGGCUUACUACGCGCUCAUGGUGCUUACUAUUCUGGUAAUUCCGAUCGGAUUUAAACGGGUGCAAUCGUUGGAGUUCCUUUGGGAGCAGUGGGACUAGAACGAUGUCCUCCUUCGCGUGUCGGCGUUUGGUCUGUUAACAUAUGCCGUGCUCAGUGUGAUUGCUGGUGGAAUGGGAGCCUUCACGCACAAACCAAACCUUCUUGUAAUGAUCACCGGAUGCUUGAGCGUACUACAGAUGAUUAACUCUGCUCCUCUGUGCACUUCAUCGCUUCCACUCAACCAUCACCCUCGCCGAUAUCUGGAAGAUAAGCUACAAAGCUCGACUUGAGUGAAUCCCCAUCUAUCAAAAUGGAUUUAGUUAGAUAUUUGCGAUAUAUAAGCUUUAGUUUCCGAUACGAUAUGAGGGUUUUUACUGAUUUCGUCCUUAUCCGGGACAGCAAUUGUAAUUUUUCGAUUUCAGUCUAGGUAUAUUUAGCGCAGGUAGAACGUCAAGUAAACUCCCGACUAUAGCAUUUUAGGAAUAUUGGAAACAGACACGACACGAAAAAGAAAAUUUGACAAAACAAUUAAUACUUUUUUUCCUUUAUAAUUUUAUGUAAUAGGAGGCAAACGGGCAGGAGGCUCACCUGAUGUUAAGUGAUACCGCUGCCCAUGGACACUCACAAUGCCAGAAGGCUCGCAAGUGCGUUGCCAGCCUUUCAAGAAUUGGUACGCUCUUUUCUUGAAGGACCCUAAGUCGAAUUGGUUAGUCACAUUCCACUUACAGUUUUAUUUCCAAGUCUGAUGAACAUUUAAUACGUAUAUAUUGCUAAUUAAAACAAAUCAGAAUUUGUUAUGAAUGGUUUCUUCCCUUAUACCAUCUUGAUAAAAUUAACUACCAAAAUGAAACUCAGUUAUUAAGUAAUUUGGUUUUUAAAAUUAAAAAUUAUACGCGAUUUCGUACGGAAACGUGUACUUAUAGUAUUGUGUUGUUGAAAUACUUCCAUAUAUACACUUUACAGUCUAACAGCUAACAGCUAUAUGAAAUAUAUAUAUUUAUACCUGUGAAUAAUCAUCGGCAACUUUUAAAUAAUUUAUUAAAUUAAAAAUCGUUAAGACUCUUUGUUAAUAAGGAAUAGUUAAAUAUGAUUGAAUCCAAAAACCUUCGAGAUAAGGUUCUUUUUUCACAGCUCAGUGCCAAUGGCCACCUUUUUGUGCUCCCACUCAAAACCCAAAAAAAAAUAAUCCAAUGCUAAAAUUUCUUUAGCUGCCUAUAUCAUCCUUCCAUCGUCUUUCAUCUAUAUAUAUACAACUAUAUAUAUAUACAAGGUAUCAAAAAAGUUAUGACACGUAACAAGGACUAAAUAUUAAUAAUGGCCAUUAAUUUCUAAGGCCUUUAACAAACACGACGUUCUCCAUUUUAAUGAAGUAGUUGCGUAGG
This is a long non-coding RNA of Pieris napi, 2000 nucleotides long. RefSeq lists it as uncharacterized. The record is from RefSeq and is a predicted model, not a curated record. NCBI's taxonomy places the organism in Eukaryota, Metazoa, Arthropoda, Insecta, Lepidoptera, Pieridae. The transcript is spliced from 6 exons.